Long non-coding RNA from Numida meleagris (helmeted guineafowl), 1580 nucleotides. RefSeq lists it as uncharacterized. Lineage: Eukaryota; Metazoa; Chordata; Aves; Galliformes; Numididae. The transcript is spliced from 3 exons. The record is from RefSeq and is a predicted model, not a curated record.
GCCAGGCCGGGGAUGCGGGCGGCCUCGAGGCGAGGGGCGAUGCCCCCGGGCACCCACCGGGCCGCGCCCCGGCGGCACGACGGAUCUCGGGUUUCCAGUAAAAUAUAAAAGCAGCCCCGGCAUUUCAAGGCAAUUACGCAGAAGGGUCGAGAGAUACAGGCUGACACAGAGGAGCUGGACAACGUCACAUCUCCUAAUGCAUCGGGAUAACGUGAUAAGGCUUUCCAUCACACCGCGCUCGGGGCCACGGGAGAGCCGAGCAGUGACAAAGGGGAAGGUUGUGCAGAGCCACCUGGCUGCUCUUAACCCAACGAUGUCCUCUUUCGUCGGGCCUAAGUCAUUCCUUGUGCUUGGGAGGAACCAAGGCGGCAGCAAGCUGUGUUAAAGCUGACAAAGCCUGUGUUCAACUGCAGCCCUCGCAGCCUCUAUUGCCCAAGCCGAAGUUCAGCGAUGCCGUGCCAAGCGAUGACGUUGCCAGCCGUGGGAGGGAACCAAUCCGAAGCUAUGGGAAAAACAUUUUUGUGGAGAAACAUCACCUCCGAAACCAUAUAAACAAAUCAGUUUUGACAAAACUAAACAGAGAGCUAUAAAAGGAGAGUUUGGGAAAAACACCACUAAUUGGGUGGUGAUUCAUAUGGUGCCGGUCAGACUGCGUUUUUGUAAUCUCCAUUCCUGGGGGAUGAUUUUCCAGGCGCAGAGGAACGUGCAAGCAGCCCGGCCAGAUGUGGGCUGGGAGACAGAGAGGAGCAAACAGAGCUGAGAGCGCAGGGACAGCAGCUCCGGAGCUGGGGGCUCCCAGAAAAACAGCAAAACGAAUGGGAUCAUCCCAAAGCAGGGCACGAGAUGCUUCACCCGCUGCCCUGUGUCAGCUGGGGGCAGUGGGAGCAGGACCACUUUGCUCAGGUGUCCCAGCGGUGGAGGUGAGGCUGUGCCCGCGGCAUCUGCUGCAUCUGUGCUGUGUUUUCACUGGGAACAGCAGAGCGUAAAAGCCACGGCCGGGCAGCUGCACGAGAAACUAAUCACUUUUAAUCUGGUUAGAAAACUUCAGCCCUUGGGGAAAAACAGCACAGCUUUCUGGAGCUUGGCCGGGAGACCGCUGGAUGUCAGGUUUAGAAGAAAUAAAUUAAAUUUGUAUUAGGGUCUGCAAUCACUUCUCCGCUUUGAGAGGCUAUUUCAGAGAGCAGGAGAGCAAUAACCUGUGAGGAGAUGAAAUCCAUAGCAGAGGUGCAGGUCCUCUGCGCACCGAAAUGGCCCCAUUACCAGGAACAUAGUUCCAGCAAGAGCUGCUCUUAUUGGCCUCCAAUUUUUGUUUUAUUCUUUUUCAAAAGAUCUGUUUCUCCAGCACGCCGUUUCAGGCAGCAAUAAAACAUGAUGGGCUGCUGCCCUGCACUGCGCGCUCCGAGGGGCGCAGAGAUCACAGAGAGCCUUUGUAGAAAUGCGCAUCGGGUCUGUAACUCAAAACCCACUGAGUUCACAUUGAGUAGGGGGCCCUACUCCUAUCCCAUCUCAACCAUCAUGAAAAACCAUUGCUUUCCAUAACCCACAGUCAGCAAAGACCAAAAAAGGUGCCUUUUUCCCCC